This 330-nucleotide RNase P RNA is filed under the name Variovorax ginsengisoli. RNAcentral's name for it is "RNase P RNA component class A". It matches the Rfam family "Bacterial RNase P class A". From Rfam's summary of the family: Ribonuclease P (RNase P) is a ubiquitous endoribonuclease, found in archaea, bacteria and eukarya as well as chloroplasts and mitochondria. Its best characterised activity is the generation of mature 5'-ends of tRNAs by cleaving the 5'-leader elements of precursor-tRNAs. Cellular RNase Ps are ribonucleoproteins. RNAcentral also lists the same sequence under 1 other name. The record is from RNAcentral. Lineage: Bacteria; Pseudomonadati; Pseudomonadota; Betaproteobacteria; Burkholderiales; Comamonadaceae.
GAAGCGUGCCAGACCGCCGCUGGUGCAAUUCCCGAAAGGGAGCACUGGAGGAACGUCCGGACUGCACAGGACAGCGCAGGAGUUAACGACUCUCCACCGUGAGGUGAGGAUCAGAGCAACAGAGACGAGCCGAUUCAGUUCGGGUGAAACGGGCAAUCUCUGCGCGCAGCAACACCAAAUAGGCCAGCGUUGAUGUGGUUCCGCGGAGCUGGCGGGUAGGUGGCAUCGAGCCGUCCGGGCGACCGGCGGCCCAGAGUAAUGGCGGUCACGCCGGCAUCGUCGCAAGACGGCGCCGGUGCACAGAAUCCGGCUUAUCGGCGCGCUUCACAC